RNAcentral lists this long non-coding RNA (268 nucleotides) under Elaeis guineensis (African oil palm). RNAcentral's name for it is "long non-coding RNA (EGUI_LNC035602)". Lineage: Eukaryota; Viridiplantae; Streptophyta; Magnoliopsida; Arecales; Arecaceae. The record is from RNAcentral.
UAUGGAGAUAUUGAAGAGAGAGUGCAGGUAUUUAUUAAAGAAUAAAGAUACUAAGCAUAAUCAAUACGAGAAGUUACUUGGAUAUCUGCUCACUCGUCAAUGACAUUCUAGAUGUUGUAGUAGUAUAAGUAGUUUUUUGACCUAUAGUGUCUCGGCUGUUCAUAAUAAGGUUGUUAUAGUUUGACUACACCAUAACUUGAUCUCCUAGCCAUAUAAAGUCUUAAGAUGUAUGUUAGCUGCAGUAGAUUCAUUGUUGGAAUGGGGUGUG